GCAGGGCAACUUACACGGGUCCUCAGGGUCCGCCCGGGAGACACGCUUGGCUCAUCUGUGACUCGCUGCAUCUCUCCUGGUGAUCAAGCCGGCAGAGAGAGCCCCUUCUCCCCAAGCGGCCACUGCCAGCAUCAUAGUAAUUCGAUUUCUGUUUUGCUGACUUCAAAACUGUCUGGGAGAGUCGAGCCAGUGCCAGCGUUGCCAGGUCCGCGGCGGCUCCCUCUGCCCCCGCCCGGCUGGGUGCUCCCUCCCUCCCGCGGCGCUCGCGGGGCCGGGCGCGCGGAGACACGGUCCCCGGGCCGCUCAGAGCCGCGCGGACCGCAUCGCGCGGUACCCGUGGGCAGAGCCGCCCGCCCCAGGGGCGCCUGCUUCCCGGCCGAGGGACUUGCGCCCACCGCCGCCCGGUUCACUCCGGCGGCCCUCCCUCUAUGUGUCAGAAACUGCAAGGAGAAAUCGCCUUUGGUACAGAUUCCUAAGGCAGCUAUGGCCAGAGGGUGGACAUGGACCUUUGCACAGGGAAUCAACUCGCAGAACUUAACCAAAUAUUGCUGGAGGAUGAAUAUAAAGCAGGAAGUUGAAGAGUUGAAGAGCGUGGGAAAUCUUCCCGGUAUGAUGUUAAAUUAUCCGAGUUCACCUGAGAAUCUGACCCAGGCAGUGGGAGGAGCUGUCUCCACUCUUCCUUGGGAACAGCGGCCCCAACCCAGAGAACACGCGGCUAGAGUGCUCCACACUGCCACCUCCAGGCAGCUCAGGCAACAGCAGCCCCGCGGUGAACGCGGCCUCCUCCUCUGCGUGACUGGCUGCAGAGGAGAGAAAGAGAAAAAACAAGGGGAAAACAUGGCAAUAAAGAUCAAAAUAAAUAACAAGGAAGCAGAGAGGAGAAGGAACAUGGAGGAGAGAGUGCGAAGAAGAGCUUUUCAGGGAGAAGGAGGUGAGUCAUCACUCCUGGAUGGGUGACUGCUUUCAGCCCCCAGAGCACUGCUGCCCAAUAGAAAUAGACUGUGAGCCACAAACUUGAGUUAUGCAUGCUAUUCUAAAUUUUCUAGUAGGAACUUUCAUAGAAUAAGAGGAAACCUAUUACAUUUAACACGUUAUCAUUUUAAUCUGCAAUCAACAUAAUCAACAAUCUGCAAUCUCUU
This 1139-nucleotide long non-coding RNA is filed under the name Cervus hanglu yarkandensis (Yarkand deer). RNAcentral's name for it is "lncRNA (ENSCHYG00000024506.1)". Lineage: Eukaryota; Metazoa; Chordata; Mammalia; Artiodactyla; Cervidae. The record is from RNAcentral.